GAUGAACGCUGGCGGCGUGCCUAAUACAUGCAAGUCGAGCGAACGGACGAGAAGCUUGCUUCUCUGAUGUUAGCGGCGGACGGGUGAGUAACACGUGGAUAACCUACCUAUAAGACUGGGAUAACUUCGGGAAACCGGAGCUAAUACCGGAUAAUAUUUUGAACCGCAUGGUUCAAAAGUGAAAGACGGUCUUGCUGUCACUUAUAGAUGGAUCCGCGCUGCAUUAGCUAGUUGGUAAGGUAACGGCUUACCAAGGCAACGAUGCAUAGCCGACCUGAGAGGGUGAUCGGCCACACUGGAACUGAGACACGGUCCAGACUCCUACGGGAGGCAGCAGUAGGGAAUCUUCCGCAAUGGGCGAAAGCCUGACGGAGCAACGCCGCGUGAGUGAUGAAGGUCUUCGGAUCGUAAAACUCUGUUAUUAGGGAAGAACAUAUGUGUAAGUAACUGUGCACAUCUUGACGGUACCUAAUCAGAAAGCCACGGCUAACUACGUGCCAGCAGCCGCGGUAAUACGUAGGUGGCAAGCGUUAUCCGGAAUUAUUGGGCGUAAGCGCGCGUAGGCGGUUUUUUAAGUCUGAUGUGAAAGCCCACGGCUCAACCGUGGAGGGUCAUUGGAAACUGGAAAACUUGAGUGCAGAAGAGGAAAGUGGAAUUCCAUGUGUAGCGGUGAAAUGCGCAGAGAUAUGGAGGAACACCAGUGGCGAAGGCGACUUUCUGGUCUGUAACUGACGCUGAUGUGCGAAAGCGUGGGGAUCAAACAGGAUUAGAUACCCUGGUAGUCCACGCCGUAAACGAUGAGUGCUAAGUGUUAGGGGGUUUCCGCCCCUUAGUGCUGCAGCUAACGCAUUAAGCACUCCGCCUGGGGAGUACGACCGCAAGGUUGAAACUCAAAGGAAUUGACGGGGACCCGCACAAGCGGUGGAGCAUGUGGUUUAAUUCGAAGCAACGCGAAGAACCUUACCAAAUCUUGACAUCCUUUGACAACUCUAGAGAUAGAGCCUUCCCCUUCGGGGGACAAAGUGACAGGUGGUGCAUGGUUGUCGUCAGCUCGUGUCGUGAGAUGUUGGGUUAAGUCCCGCAACGAGCGCAACCCUUAAGCUUAGUUGCCAUCAUUAAGUUGGGCACUCUAAGUUGACUGCCGGUGACAAACCGGAGGAAGGUGGGGAUGACGUCAAAUCAUCAUGCCCCUUAUGAUUUGGGCUACACACGUGCUACAAUGGACAAUACAAAGGGCAGCGAAACCGCGAGGUCAAGCAAAUCCCAUAAAGUUGUUCUCAGUUCGGAUUGUAGUCUGCAACUCGACCACAUGAAGCUGGAAUCGCUAGUAAUCGUAGAUCAGCAUGCUACGGUGAAUACGUUCCCGGGUCU
Molecule: ribosomal RNA, 1371 nt
Filed under: uncultured bacterium
Lineage: Bacteria
Description: bacterial SSU rRNA
Rfam family: Bacterial small subunit ribosomal RNA
Source: RNAcentral